This 427-nucleotide ribosomal RNA is filed under the name Physarum didermoides. RNAcentral's name for it is "SSU rRNA". It matches the Rfam family "Eukaryotic small subunit ribosomal RNA", at positions 1230 to 1644 of the family's 1831-position model. The record is from RNAcentral. Lineage: Eukaryota; Evosea; Eumycetozoa; Physariida; Physaraceae.
ACACGUAUGAAAGUCAAGCUGAAAGACUUUACUCAAUGAUGUAAGUGGUGGUGCAUGGUCGUUCGUAGUUCGUGGAUUGAUUUGUCUGGUUUAUUCCGAUAACGAGCGAGACCCCAACGUUCCUAAUAGGAGCUUUAGCCCGGUGCGUCGCAAGGCGUACUAGCUAUCGCUUAAAGAUUUGCUUCUUAGACGUAUCAGAGCCGAUAAGGCGCUUGAAAUGGGUUAAUAACAGGUCAGUGAUGCCCUUAGAUGUUCUGGGCCGCACGCGCGUUACAAUGGCAUGUAAAGCGAGUGCUUCUCCAAAGGCUUUGCCGGGGCUGAAAGGUCUCGGUAAUCCCUAAUCCCUGCCUUGACUGGGAUAGAUCAUUGCAAUUAUUGGUCUCCAACGAGGAAUUUUUAGUAGGCGCAGGUCAUUAACCUGCGUCGA